CCCCUUCUGAUAGGUGAUGGAGUUCUCCAGAGGGACCAAGCCCUGCUGCCUGCGGACACCCACUGUCCUCAUCUGUACCUCGGGGACCGACGGAGGGACGGCAAAGGCUGAUGCUAAUGGAGUGGAUGCUGACCAGCAGGCAGGGGAAGGGGAGCUGCGAGAUGCCCUCGGCUCCUGGAGGUCAUACAGAGCAGUGCUGGGUGGUUGGAAAAUGGCAUCAGCAAACUUUGAUUGCAGCAGCCCAGCGACUGAGCAUUUCUUCUGUCCUUGGGAUUUUGAGAUAGGGAGC
This 289-nucleotide long non-coding RNA is filed under the name Gallus gallus (chicken). Lineage: Eukaryota; Metazoa; Chordata; Aves; Galliformes; Phasianidae. The record is from RNAcentral.